This 214-nucleotide long non-coding RNA is filed under the name Ricinus communis (castor bean). RNAcentral describes it as "long non-coding RNA (RCOM_LNC002539)". Lineage: Eukaryota; Viridiplantae; Streptophyta; Magnoliopsida; Malpighiales; Euphorbiaceae. The record is from RNAcentral.
GAUGCCUUAUUGGGUUGAAGUUCUUGGGCUUUCCAAUCCCUAAUUAAACCUAAUAUGGCUUGUUGAAGCUUCUUGGAUUUGGACCUUGUGAUUGGGCCUUCUUGUACUAUUAAUGGAUCUUGGAUCUCUUUAAGCUUUGAACUUGGAUUCACAUCAUUCCCCCUUUUUUCAAAAGGAUUUGUCCACAAAUCAGCUCCAUCAUCUUCAUCACCUA